RNAcentral lists this ribosomal RNA (253 nucleotides) under uncultured bacterium. Its description in RNAcentral is "partial 16S ribosomal RNA". It matches the Rfam family "Bacterial small subunit ribosomal RNA", at positions 524 to 776 of the family's 1533-position model. The record is from RNAcentral.
UACGUAGGGUGCAAGCGUUAAUCGGAAUUACUGGGCGUAAAGCGUGCGCAGGCGGUUUUGUAAGUCUGUCGUGAAAUCCCCGAGCUUAACUUGGGAAUUGCGCUCGAAACUACGUGGCUCGAGUGUGGCAGAGGAAGGUGGAAUUCCACGUGUAGCGGUGAAAUGCGUAGAGAUGUGGAGGAACACCGAUGGCGAAGGCAGCCUUCUGGGCCAACACUGACACUCAUGCACGAAAGCGUGGGGAGCAAACAGG